GAUAGAAUGGGGGGUAAUUAAAGGGAUAUAUGGCGGUAAUAGGGGAUAUAUGGGCGGUAAAUAGGGGUAUAUAUGGGGAGAAUGGGGGAUAUAUGGGGGUAAUGGGGGUAUAGGGGGUAAUAGGGGAUAUUAUGGGUUAAUAGGGAUAUAUGGGUUAAUAGGGGAUAUAUGGGGGUAAUUAGGAUAUAUGGGGGUAAUAGGGGCGGUAAUGGGGGGUGAUAAGGGAUAAUGGGGGUGAUAAGGGAUAUAUGGGGGUAAUAGGGAUAUUAUGGGUGAAUAGGAUAUUAAGGGGAAUAGGGGAUAUAUAGGGGUAAUAGGGAUAUAUAGGGGUAAAUAGGCGGAAAUAUGGGGGUAAUUAAUAGGGGAUAUAUGGGGGUAAUAGGGGAUAUAUGGGGGGUAAUAGGGGAUAUAUGGGGGGUAAUAGGGGAUAUAUGGGGUUCUAUGGGAUCAAUGGGAUCAAUGGGGUCAAUGGGGCCGUUGGGUUCUAUGGGGCGCUGCAAUGACGCCGUGUCACCGCCAGGUGGCGCCAUGCUGCUGGUGACGGUGGUGGUGGCCGCGGCGCUGUUAGGGGUCUGUGGGGCAGAGACCGAGCCCCCCAUCCCUGAAUCGACCCCGACCCCAUUAACGCUGUGGGGCCGAGUGGAGGCGGCAGCCAAGAACUUCAGUGACCGGCUGUGGGGCAGCAACGUGGGGCAGGCCGUGCAGUGAGUGGGGCACACUAUGGGGGGAUAUGGGGCACAAUAGGGGGGCUAUGGGGGGCUAUGGGGCACACUAUGGGGGUCUAUGGGGCACACUAUGGGGGGCUAUGGGGCACAAUGGGGGGCUAUGGGAGGAACCUUUAGCCACGCCCCCUUUCCCUUUGGCCACGCCUCCUCCUUUAGACCACGCCCUCUUUCCAUUUAGACCACGCCCCCUUCAUUUUGGCCACGCCCGCUUCCCUUUGGCCACGCCCCCUGGGUGGGGCACACAAUGGCGGUCAAUGGGUGCCUUUAGCCACGCCCCCUUCGUGAGGCCACGCCCCUUUUCCCUUUAGCCACGCCCCCUCAGCGGGGCACACAAUUGUGGUCAAUGGGGGCCUUUGGCCACGCCCACUUCACGAGGCCACGCCCCAAUUCAAUGACGUCAGCCCCCGUGACCACGCCCUCUCCCGUGGCCACGCCCACCUCUGGCCCCGCCCCCUCCCUCCCUCCCCGCCUCC
This 1198-nucleotide long non-coding RNA is filed under the name Coturnix japonica (Japanese quail). RNAcentral's name for it is "lncRNA (ENSCJPG00005005882.1)". The record is from RNAcentral. Lineage: Eukaryota; Metazoa; Chordata; Aves; Galliformes; Phasianidae.